GCCGAGCAUAGUGGCGUGUGCCUGUAGUCCCAGCUACUCGGGAGGCUGAGGCAGGAGAAUCACUUGAACCUGGGAGGUGAAGGUUGCAGUGAGUUGAGAUUGUGCCACUGCACUCCAGCCUGGGUGCUGGAGUGCAGCGGUGCUAUCUCGGCUCACUGCAACCUCCGCCUCCUAGGUUCAAGUGAUUCUCCUGCCUCAG
RNAcentral lists this signal recognition particle RNA (199 nucleotides) under Macaca fascicularis (crab-eating macaque). Its description in RNAcentral is "Metazoan signal recognition particle RNA (ENSMFAG00000057434.1)". It matches the Rfam family "Metazoan signal recognition particle RNA". From Rfam's summary of the family: The signal recognition particle (SRP) is a universally conserved ribonucleoprotein. It is involved in the co-translational targeting of proteins to membranes. Lineage: Eukaryota; Metazoa; Chordata; Mammalia; Primates; Cercopithecidae. The record is from Rfam by way of RNAcentral.